RNAcentral lists this ribosomal RNA (398 nucleotides) under uncultured bacterium. Its description in RNAcentral is "bacterial SSU rRNA". It matches the Rfam family "Bacterial small subunit ribosomal RNA", at positions 975 to 1375 of the family's 1533-position model. The record is from RNAcentral.
CAGGGUUUGACAUCCUGCGACCGCUCCCUAAUAGGAGUUUUCCCGCAAGGGACGCAGAGACAGGUGCUGCAUGGCUGUCGUCAGCUCGUGUCGUGAGGUGUUGGGUUAAGUCCCGCAACGAGCGCAACCCUCGCCUUUAGUUGCCAUCAUUCAGUUGGGCACUCUAGAGGGACCGCCGGCGACAAGCCGGAGGAAGGUGGGGAUGACGUCAAGUCCUCAUGGCCCUUACACCCUGGGCUACACACGUGCUACAAUGGCGGUGACAGUGGGCAGCUACUUCGCGAGAAGCGGCUAAUCCCAAAAAACCGUCCCAGUUCAGAUUGCACUCUGCAACUCGAGUGCAUGAAGGUGGAAUCGCUAGUAAUCGCAGAACAGCAGGCUGCGGUGAAUACGUUCCC